RNAcentral lists this ribosomal RNA (745 nucleotides) under uncultured bacterium. Its description in RNAcentral is "bacterial SSU rRNA". It matches the Rfam family "Bacterial small subunit ribosomal RNA", at positions 8 to 796 of the family's 1533-position model. The record is from RNAcentral.
AGAGUUUGAUCCUGGCUCAGAGCGAACGCUGGCGGCAGGCCUAACACAUGCAAGUCGAACGGGCCCCUUCGGGGGUCAGUGGCAGACGGGUGAGUAACGCGUGGGAACGUGCCCAUCGGUUCGGGAUAACCCAGGGAAACUUGGGCUAAUACCGGAUACGCCCUUUGGGGGAAAGAUUCAUUGCCGAUGGAUCGGCCCGCGUCUGAUUAGCUAGUUGGCGAGGUAACGGCUCACCAAGGCGACGAUCAGUAGCUGGUCUGAGAGGAUGAUCAGCCACACUGGGACUGAGACACGGCCCAGAUUCCUACGGGAGGCAGCAGUGGGGAAUAUUGGACAAUGGGCGCAAGCCUGAUCCAGCCAUGCCGCGUGAGUGAUGAAGGCCUUAGGGUUGUAAAGCUCUUUCACCCACGACGAUAAUGACGGUAGUGGGAGAAGAAGCCCCGGCUAACUUCGUGCCAGCAGCCGCGGUAAUACGAAGGGGGCUAGCGUUGCUCGGAAUCACUGGGCGUAAAGGGCGCGUAGGCGGCCGAUCAAGUCAGGGGUGAAAGCCUGUGGCUCAACCACAGAAUUGCCUUUUGAUACUGUUCGGCUCGAGACCGGAAGAGGUUGGUGGAACUGCGAGUGUAGAGGUGAAAUUCGUAGAUAUUCGCAAGAACACCAGUGGCGAAGGCGGCCAACUGGUCCGGUUCUGACGCUGAGGCGCGAAAGCGUGGGGAGCAAACAGGAUUAGAUACCCUCGUAGUCC